RNAcentral lists this ribosomal RNA (497 nucleotides) under uncultured bacterium. Its description in RNAcentral is "partial 16S ribosomal RNA". It matches the Rfam family "Bacterial small subunit ribosomal RNA", at positions 28 to 507 of the family's 1533-position model. The record is from RNAcentral.
GAUGAACGCUGGCGGCGUGCCUAAUACAUGCAAGUCGAGCGAACAGACGAGGAGCUUGCUCCUCUGACGUUAGCGGCGGACGGGUGAGUAACACGUGGAUAACCUACCUAUAAGACUGGGAUAACUUCGGGAAACCGGAGCUAAUACCGGAUAAUAUAUUGAACCGCAUGGUUCAAUAGUGAAAGACGGUUUUGCUGUCACUUAUAGAUGUAUCCGCGCCGCAUUAGCUAGUUGGUAAGGUAACGGCUUACCAAGGCAACGAUGCGUAGCCGACCUGAGAGAGGGAUCGGCGAAACGGGAACUGAGCCACGGGCCAGACUCCUACGGGAGGCAGCAGUAUGGAAUCUUCCGCAAUGGGCGAAAGCUUGACGGAGCAAAGACGCGUGAGUGAUGAAGAUCUUCGGAGCGUAAAACUCUGUUAUUAGGGAAAAACAAAUGUGUCAGUGACUAUGCACGUCUUGAAGGUACCUAAUCAGAAAGACACGGCUAAAUACGUG